AUUUGGUGGGAAAAGUAGCCAAUGCCAAAGAAUUUGUUCCUUUAAUUUUUUCAUGCCAGAACUUUGAAUUGGUAAUCCAGCUAACUACAUGUGUGUAAUGUUCAGUGUCUGAAUUUCUCUUCGGGAUGUGUUUUGUAGGUCUCCAUCACAUUUUUGCCCAGAGAUAGGGGGGAUUAUGCCCAGUUUUGGGAUGCUGAGUGUCACCCACUUAAAGAGCCUCACAUGAAACACACGCUGAGAUUUCAGCUGUCUGGACGAAGUGUCAAAGCAGAAAAUGAAUCUGAAGGUGCAUGCGUGUCCAUGGCCACCCUCGCUAAAAUAGAUAAUUUAGUUAAGCCCCGAAGACAAGCUGUGUCAGCAGCUUCUGCUCUCAUACCUGGCAGGCAGCUUGAUUUGACUCACCGUGGAGUUUAUGCCCCGGAAGAUAUGUACAGGUUUCUCCCAACUAGAGUGGGGGAAUCAAGGACGCUGAAGGUCAAUUUGCGAAACAAUUCUUACAUUACACACGUGGUAAGUUAGAAAUAUUACUGUGGCUUUUGGAAAAGUAAAUGCAUUCAACUAUUUGAUAAUAAGUGUUUUCCUGAUGAAUAUAAACUUCUUUUAUAGAUUAUAUUUAAAUUGUCAUAUGAGUUAAUAUGAAAAAAAUUCCUUAAUACUAUAUUUGAAAAGGAACUCAUUGGAAGCUGAUGACCCUUAAUUUGAAAAUCAAAAAUAUUGUUUUGAUAUUUUAAUUUUUAACUUUCUUUUUUUCUUUCUACUGUACUAUCACACAGACAU
This is a long non-coding RNA of Galeopterus variegatus (Sunda flying lemur), 777 nucleotides long. RefSeq lists it as uncharacterized. The record is from RefSeq and is a predicted model, not a curated record. NCBI's taxonomy places the organism in Eukaryota, Metazoa, Chordata, Mammalia, Dermoptera, Cynocephalidae. The transcript has 3 exons.